This 1239-nucleotide long non-coding RNA is filed under the name Anser cygnoides (Swan goose). Its description in RNAcentral is "lncRNA (ENSACDG00005000144.1)". Lineage: Eukaryota; Metazoa; Chordata; Aves; Anseriformes; Anatidae. The record is from RNAcentral.
AUGCUGGUGCCUGCUCCUGGCAAAACGCUCUUGCAUCUUGGCUCCUCCAGCAGCACUUUGGCUCCCCAGCAUGCAGCCCCGCUGGCAUGGCCCUGGUUAAUGCCACAGGGUGUCCCCAGUAGGGACUGUCCCCUGGGACAGGAGCAGGGUGAGGCAUGCAGUGGGUUAUUCUGGUCUGCAGCAAAACGCGCAGCCCCCACACUGCACAGCAGAGCACGGCUCAACUUAUCAGCACUCCAACGUGCCCAGCAAGGCGAUGCUGAUAGAGGACAGCGGCUGCUCCUUGGCUGCAGCAGCGCCCGGGGAUGCUGGGAAGCCCAAGCUGGCAGGAUGGGAGCUCGGCACCAGCACCAGGAGGGUGCCAAAGUGCAGAGCACAUGCUGGUCAUGCUGUGCCAGCUCCCAGCGUGGGAGCCAAAGCAGAGCACAUUUCCAAAAGCACGGCCCCGCGGUGUCUCAGGCACUGAAGCCAGCAGCUGCCACCUCUGCAGGGCGAAACCUGCGGGGCCAGGGCACCCACAGCCCCCUCUCAUCCAGCACAAACACCUCUUAUCAGUCCCUGGCAUCCCAGCAGGCAACACCCGCAGAGGCACUGAGGGAAACGGCCCCGCUGGGGGCCAUCCAAAAGGACUUUCUGAGUGACGCAGGGGGCCAGGAGCAUCGUCCCUCACAGGGGACGCGGGGCCAGCCCCAGUACACACAGGGGCCUCUUGUUCUCCUCCUGAGCUCCAGCUCUGUGCGAGCAGCGAUACGAGAGCAGCAGCCCCCGGCACACCAAGCACCGCGCCGCUCCCCACCGCUGCCACGCCGCGGCUGCGGACGCUUCACGAGCUGUCAAUAUUUGCUCCCACUCGUUCCCCUGGCGCCAGCUGCUGCCCUGGCAGCUCCCGGAGCAGGGAAGCGCCUGAAACAAACCACAGCCCAGCGAACAGCAGUGCCCACGGGCAGGGCAGAUGAAGCAACUAGAGGCAGGGGAGGGAUGCUGCUGGGAGGCCCUGGCACCGCAGAGCCUCUGCAGCACCCCGGCUGUUUUGGGACAGGACACACAGCUCUGGCAGGCCAGGACAGCGUGGGAACUCUGGGGUUUGGGCAGCCUUUUCCGCCUUUCCUCUGCCUGCAGAGUGGCAGAGCAACACGAGCCUGGCAGGCAGGCAAGCCAAGCAGAGGUCCUGCCCUGCUGUCUCAGCUUCGUCUCCCCACACUCUUUUAUUCCAGCAGAAACCUUAUUCUAUGCAAAUAA